This 466-nucleotide ribosomal RNA is filed under the name uncultured bacterium. RNAcentral describes it as "partial 16S ribosomal RNA". It matches the Rfam family "Bacterial small subunit ribosomal RNA", at positions 28 to 507 of the family's 1533-position model. The record is from RNAcentral.
GAUGAACGCUGGCGGCGUGCUUAACACAUGCAAGUCGAACGGAAAGGCCACAGCUUGCUGUGGUACUCGAGUGGCGAACGGGUGAGUAACACGUGGGUGAUCUGCCCUGUACUUCGGGAUAAGCUUGGGAAACUGGGUCUAAUACCGGAUAGGAAUCACAUGUCGGUGUGUGGUUGGAAAGCUUUUGCGGUAUGGGAUGAGCUCGCGGCCUAUCCGCUUGUUGGUGGGGUAAUGGCCUACCAAGGCGUCGACGGGUAGCCGGCCUGAGAGGGUGUACGGCCACAUUGGGACUGCGAUACGGCCCAGACUCCUACGGGAGGCAGCAGUGGGGAGUAUUGCACAGUGGGCGCAAGCCUGAUGCAGCGACGCCGCGUGGGGGAUGACGGCCUUCGGGUUGUAAACUCCUUUCGUCAGGGACGAAGCGAAAGUGACGGUACCUGGAGAAGAAGCACCGGCUAACUACGUG